GACGAACGCUGGCGGCGUGCUUAACACAUGCAAGUCGUACGGUAAGGCCCUUUCGGGGGUCCACGAGUGGCGAACGGGUGAGUAACACGUGAGUAACCUGCCCACAACUUUGGGAUAACGCUAGGAAACUGGUGCUAAUACUGGAUAUGUGCCCCUGCUGCAUGGUGGGGGUUGGAAAGCUCCGGCGGUGGUGGCUGGACUCGCGGCCUAUCAGCUUGUUGGUGGGGUAGCGGCCUACCAAGGCGGCGACGGGUAGCCGGCCUGAGAGGGUGACCGGCCACAUUGGGACUGAGAUACGGCCCAGGCUCCGACGGGAGGCAGCAGUGGGGAAGAUGGCUCAAGGGGCACAGGCCUGAUGCAGCAACGCCGCGGGCGGGAUGGCGACCUUGGGGUUGUAAACCGCUUGCAGCAGGGACGAAGCUUUUUGUGACGGUACCUGCAGAAGAAGCACCGGCUAACUUCGUG
Molecule: ribosomal RNA, 465 nt
Filed under: uncultured bacterium
Lineage: Bacteria
Description: partial 16S ribosomal RNA
Rfam family: Bacterial small subunit ribosomal RNA
Source: RNAcentral